UUCUUAUUUCUACAGGCCAUAUUCUUAAAUUGGAAUAAUACAGAGGUGGUUUGUAUGGUCUCUAAAGAAGAAUGACACAAUGAUUUGUAAUGUAUCUCAUAUAUUU
Molecule: small nuclear RNA, 106 nt
Organism: Sorex araneus (European shrew)
Lineage: Eukaryota; Metazoa; Chordata; Mammalia; Eulipotyphla; Soricidae
Source: RefSeq, a predicted model, not a curated record